Molecule: long non-coding RNA, 1257 nt
Filed under: Phoenix dactylifera (date palm)
Lineage: Eukaryota; Viridiplantae; Streptophyta; Magnoliopsida; Arecales; Arecaceae
Description: long non-coding RNA (PDAC_LNC013450)
Source: RNAcentral
AGUCAUCAAACGGGCUUGAUACAUCCAAGCGGAGGAACUUCGAUCACUUACCAAACGACUUACCAAAAGACCGAGGGGGCGCGUUUAAUAACUGCAAGUGGAAUUCGAACAAUCAAACUUACAAUUCCAUUUAUUAGCCUUCUUUAUUGUGGCUGUCCUUUUUUUCCACAGGGGUAGAGAAAGCGCGAGAAAUAAGCGGAAGAACGGGCGAGGAGAGAGACAGAUAACGGAUCAAAGGUUCGAUGUUGAUGAUCUUUUUUUCCCAGAUUAUUGCUCUGAAUUUCUGCGGAUUCGGUUCAAAUCUGCUCUCCGAUUCGCUGUGACGUGUUGAGGGAGGGAAUGCGGGGGAUUACAGGUGCCGGUUGAUAUCUUCCUCCCUCUUCUUUCAUCAGAGAUCGCUCUUUUUGGACAUCUCCAUCGGUUCUGGGAUCGAUGUCUAGGCCUUAGAGCCUAAUCCGGUGAUGGUUUUAUCUGCCGCAAUUGCAAGGCCCAUGGGGUCCUUCGCGGUUUCUCGUCUCGCGGCCUGAAUUGCCCGGGGCAGUUGGAGGGAUUCCGGUAGAGAGUUGGGCAGUCGAAUAAGAUUUUUUGGCGGUUUUUGGAGGACGAAAGGUUGUAACGUGAGCAGGAAUUUGAUUAUGAUCUCCUUGUUGUUUGUUUCAUGGUUUCUGACGAAAAAAAUGUUUUUUGGGAUGCGUCAGCAUUUGCUUGAUUGUUGUAUUACUAGGGUUUGAGUUCGGCAAUAGAACGGGUGACCAGUUUUGAUUCUGUUUGUCUGCUUUUGGAGGGGUAGCUUCGUACUGUUGGCUGAAUUAGAGGCAAUUUGAGAAUUCUGGGGCCAGCAUUUGCUGUGGAAGUGCCUUGAGGGCACUCGAAUUUCCUGGAAUCAGGGUUUUUGAUUCACAUGGAGCCAGGGUUUGAAUCUGGAUUGCUUUGAAUGGUAAGAAUGUCGAGGAUAUUGGGGAGAAUUGAGGUUUUCUUUUUGUUGCCAUUAGAUGGGAGCUUUCUCUUGAUGCUUGUUAUAAACUUGGCUGGAAGAUUUCAAACUUAUUAUUUUUGUAUGUUUCAAUUGAAUUGCUGGUUGUUUAUUUACAAGAAUCAGCUGGUUCAUGGAAUUUCAAUAUAGGAUUCCUCAGGAUUCCAUACGAGAAGUAAGUUUAUUCAGCCUAGUAUUUGAAAGGUUCUGAAGAAGGCAUGAUACAGAUGCUGCUUGGUUGUUUCCUGAGAGGAAGCUGAGUUAUAUUUCAAUUGAGGUGGGUU